Long non-coding RNA from Homo sapiens (human), 1321 nucleotides. NCBI's taxonomy places the organism in Eukaryota, Metazoa, Chordata, Mammalia, Primates, Hominidae. The record is from Ensembl.
AGAAUUGCAGUUUCAGCCACCAGCAGCUCUCCGAUGGGCACAGGCUCCACUUAUGGCUGGUUUGGAAUGGCAAAUCCAUCACUCUCUUUGCCUGUAAAAUGCCAAGGAGACUGAUCUAAGCAGGGGGUUCCCAUCCAUGGCCUGCUCUAGGCCUGAAGGAACACAGAUGGCAUUUGCAGGAAGAUGACAUCUCACCAUCCCCAUCUGAGCAAAGCCUGCCCAUCAAACAACCAAAGGAUAGCCAGUCCCCUGCACAGUGUAAAGUGACUUGCAGUGAUCCUCUUCCCCAAGGCCAGCCCCAGCUCUCAGACCUCCAGUCCCAACAAGUCUUUUUUUGCAAAGGAGGCUCACCCUGGAACAUGGCUCUCCCAAGGGGAGACAGGAACGGAUGUUGACUUCAUCCCAGCAGCUUCUGACACAAUGCCACUAUCUUUCAACUUUCUCCACCAACAGGGUCAGGCUGUUGAUUGGCCUCGACUGCAGUUAGCCUGACACGGCUAGCAGCCUCAAAACAAAUUAAACGAGGCAGGGAUGCCGUGCAGUGAUCGUUCCAUUAUGUCCCCUCUGCUUCCACACGUGACUCACACUAUCACUUUUAGAAGGUGAAGCAUCUUAUUGAAUCAACACCUAAUCUGCACACAGUGUCACGGAGGAGGGGCGAGGGGACAGCGGGAGCAUUUUCUCUGAUCCUUUUCUUUCCUGAAGACUUCGCUGGAGACAGGCUGGGUGGGGGCGAAGAUGAAUUGUGAGGAACCCUGACCCUAUUUCAGGAGCUGUUCUCGGCCUCGGGUUUUCCUGCCUGUUAGAACCCUCAAAACUACAGCUCUCCAGACAGCUACCUCUGAAGGCUCCUGAAGCUUAGAAACAGAGAGGAAAACACCCCUUUAUCUGCACGUGUCUCCACCACUGCAAUUGCUGGAAGCUCCACGAGUGCCCUCGGUGCACAGAUGUGCUUUACAACAGAGUGACUGUAAAUGAGAAAACACUAAGUUAGGCUCUGACGGCCAAUGCUGGAUGUAUCCGUUUGCCCUAUAAAUAAGCACUGAUCACCUCCAUUUUAUUGAACUCAUUUUCUAGGCAAGCAAAGACCACAAGAUUCUUCUGCACAUUUUCUCUUUACACCCUCUAGUACUGCUGCUACUGUCAGCUCCGACAGAUUUAUAGCCCAUUCAUUCAUGGGAACAAAAACCCUGCCACGGCUGGUCAUGGGACACGCAAUAGCAGUUAGUUCAAAAGAUAACAGCUGCAAUACCUCACCUCUCCAUUCAGCACUACAGAGCCAGCACUACUUCGGAGGUAAUAAAUGCUUCUUGUUAGUGUG